Anaerolineae bacterium CG2_30_64_16 is the source of this 73-nucleotide non-coding RNA. The record is from Rfam. NCBI's taxonomy places the organism in Bacteria, Bacillati, Chloroflexota, Anaerolineae.
GCCCCUGUAGCUCAGUGGAUAGAGCGGAGGACUUCUAAUCCUAAGGCCGCUGGUUCGAAUCCAGCCAGGGGUA